GGGCAAUCUGCCCUUCACUCUGGGACAAGCCCUGGAAACGGGGUCUAAUACCGGAUAUGAGCCUGGGAGGCAUCUCCCGGGUUGUAAAGCUCCGGCGGUGAAGGAUGAGCCCGCGGCCUAUCAGCUUGUUGGUGAGGUAAUGGCUCACCAAGGCGACGACGGGUAGCCGGCCUGAGAGGGCGACCGGCCACACUGGGACUGAGACACGGCCCAGACUCCUACGGGAGGCAGCAGUGGGGAAUAUUGCACAAUGGGCGAAAGCCUGAUGCAGCGACGCCGCGUGAGGGAUGACGGCCUUCGGGUUGUAAACCUCUUUCAGCAGGGAAGAAGCGAGAGUGACGGUACCUGYWKAAKAAGCGCCGGCUAACUACGUGCCAGCAGCCGCGGUAAUACGUAGGGCGCAAGCGUUGUCCGGAAUUAUUGGGCGUAAAGAGCUCGUAGGCGGCUUGUCACGUCGAUUGUGAAAGCCCGAGGCUUAACCUCGGGUCUGCAGUCGAUACGGGCUAGCUAGAGUGUGGUAGGGGAGAUCGGAAUUCCUGGUGUAGCGGUGAAAUGCGCAGAUAUCAGGAGGAACACCGGUGGCGAAGGCGGAUCUCUGGGCCAUUACUGACGCUGAGGAGCGAAAGCGUGGGGAGCGAACAGGAUUAGAUACCCUGGUAGUCCACGCCGUAAACGGUGGGAACUAGGUGUUGGCGACAUUCCACGUCGUCGGUGCCGCAGCUAACGCAUUAAGUUCCCCGCCUGGGGAGUACGGCCGCAAGGCUAAAACUCAAAGGAAUUGACGGGGGCCCGCACAAGCGGCGGAGCAUGUGGCUUAAUUCGACGCAACGCGAAGAACCUUACCAAGGCUUGACAUACACCGGAAAACCCUGGAGACAGGGUCCCCCUUGUGGUCGGUGUACAGGUGGUGCAUGGCUGUMGUCAGCUCGUGUCGUGAGAUGUUGGGUUAAGUCCCGCAACGAGCGCAACCCUUGUCCCGUGUUGCCAGCAGGCCCUUGUGGUGCUGGGGACUCACGGGAGACCGCCGGGGUCAACUCGGAGGAAGGUGGGGACGACGUCAAGUCAUCAUGCCCCUUAUGUCUUGGGCUGCACACGUGCUACAAUGGCCGGUACAAUGAGCUGCGAUACCGUGAGGUGGAGCGAAUCUCAAAAAGCCGGUCUCAGUUCGGAUUGGGGUCUGCAACUCGACCCCAUGAAGUCGGAGUCGCUAGUAAUCGCAGAUCAGCAUUGCUGSGGUGAAUACGUUCCCGGGCCUUGUACACACCGCCCGUCACGUCACGAAAGUCGGUAACACCCGAAGCCGG
This 1304-nucleotide ribosomal RNA is filed under the name Streptomyces sp. RNAcentral's name for it is "bacterial SSU rRNA". The record is from RNAcentral. Lineage: Bacteria; Bacillati; Actinomycetota; Actinomycetes; Kitasatosporales; Streptomycetaceae.